AACGAACGCUGGCGGCAGGCCUAACACAUGCAAGUCGAGCGGGGGAGCAAUCCCUAGCGGCGGACGGGUUAGUAACGCGUGGGAACAUACCCUUUGGUACGGAUAGCCUCGGGAAACUGAGAGUAAUACCCGUAUGUGCCCUUCGGGGGAAAUAUUUAUAGGAUGUAGAUGGGCAUGCGUAAGAUUAGCUAGUUGGUAAGGUAACGGCUUACCAAGGCUACGAUCUUUAGGGGCUCUGAGAGGAGUAUCCCCCACACUGGCACUGAGAUACGGGCCA
Molecule: ribosomal RNA, 277 nt
Filed under: uncultured bacterium
Lineage: Bacteria
Description: partial 16S ribosomal RNA
Rfam family: Bacterial small subunit ribosomal RNA
Source: RNAcentral